GGCUGCGUUUCCACCAGAGAUGUGCGAUGGAAAUGUGUCGUGCGAGGAUGUCUAGCUGUGCUGUGAAAAUGUGUGGGUGUUUCCACCAAAGCUGUGCGAUGAUAAUGUGCCUACGAGGAUGUGUAGCGGAGCUGUGAAAAUGCGCAUUAAUGUGUGGCGCGAGGAUGCGUUGCGAAGCUGUGAAAUGUGUCGACGGGGGUGCGGUGUAGUGGGAGCGGAGUAACGCGAACGCCUGCCUGCCGCUCACCGCGCUGCGCUCACGUCUCACUUUGCUGUCGUAAGCGCUUGUAGUCGUACGCAUGUCGUACGGUUGCGUGGCAUAAUGGACGAAAAAUUAAUUGAUGCCGUUCAAAAGUUUCCGUGUUUGUGGAACACUUCUUUGUCAUUUUACAAAUGUAAUGAAACUAAGGACGCUGCGUGGGAGGAAAUAGUCAAAGAAAUACAAUAUAAAGAUGUGAAAAGCGCUAAGUAUCGUUGGAAACAACUACGGGAUAGCCAUCGGGACGCGCUAAAGAGGCAGAAAUCUAAAAAGCGGACAGGCUACAACCAAAACACGUGAAUGGAAAUACCAAAAAUUGAUGGAAUUUCUUUUACCGUACAUGGCCAACAGAGAUAGAGAGUCAAGUUAUAAAGAGGAUAUUUCGUCACCAAAUAAUGAAAAUGACUCUUCGCAAAGCACUCAAUAUUCAUUAAACCAAGAUGACUCUUCGCAGAGCACUGAACAUACACCAAAUCAAGCUGACAAUCCCAACAAUCUUUACGAAAUAGCCUCAACUUCAGGCAUUUCAACAGAUUCGGUCACCCCGUCAUCAUCAAAGAAGAAAAAAGGCGAUGAAUUAUCAAUUUUAAUACAAAAACAUAUGAAAAAUCAAGAAGAUUUUCGAAAAGAAAGGCAAGAAUUAAGAGAACUUUUAAAACCAACGGACUGCGAUGAUACUGAUCAUUUUUCUUUCAAUGGCGAAAACAUUUAAAAAAUUACCAGAUUACAUGCAAGUUCCUUUAAAAAGGAAACUUUUUAAUAUGAUUAGCGAAGCCGAAGAAUCUUACGUGCUGUCGUGGUAUAAUCAAAAUAUUGGUUAUUCUUCAAGCUCUGAUAGCAGUAUAGCAGUAGGUAGUAAUAUAGCAGGCCAGAUGGAUUUGCCGCCUCAGCUGGAUCCUGAACAACUUGGUUAUUCUUCAAGCUCUGGUAGAAAUACAAAUAAAACAGUGGGCCAGAUGGAUUCAUCUUUCCAACUGGAAGCUGUACAACCAGCAUCUCCGGGAACACAACAUUCAGACCUACAAACGCCAAAUACUUCAAACAAAGUAGGAACAGAGCCUAAUUUGCCAUGAAAAGAGGAACUUGUUGUCUACUUAUUUUGCAGAUUAUGAUUACUUUUCAAUUAAUAUGUUUAAUAAAGACAAAAUUGAUUCAAACUAUUUUACUUACUUUAAACAUACCGCCAAUUUUUCCUUGGUGCUGAUGCAUUCUCUGUAGUGAGUGUCUUCUUUCUUGAUAAUGUUCUCAAUCAAAUUGUGUAACUCAUAAAAGUUACUUCUAGAUACUCGAUAAGAAUUUUCGAAUAUUUCAUCAUCAGCCGUAUGAAAAAAGGUAAAGAAUUCUCCAUGUAAUCGAUGAUAUUUAAUAUGGUUACGUAUCCAAAACCUGUGUGUUCUUGUAUUGCUCAAAAUUAUAGAACUAAUAAACUCCGUAUCUUCUGCUUCCAUUUCUUCAUCACAAAUUGUUAAAUAUAAAAGUAUUUUCUUUUUCCAAUUA
Long non-coding RNA from Helicoverpa armigera (cotton bollworm), 1756 nucleotides. RefSeq lists it as uncharacterized. The transcript is spliced from 2 exons. The record is from RefSeq and is a predicted model, not a curated record. Lineage: Eukaryota; Metazoa; Arthropoda; Insecta; Lepidoptera; Noctuidae.